GUGGGGAAUUUUGGACAAUGGGCGCAAGCCUGAUCCAGCAAUGCCGCGUGCAGGAAGAAGGCCUUCGGGUUGUAAACUGCUUUUGUACGGAACGAAAAGGCUCUGGUUAAUACCUGGGGCUCAUGACGGUACCGUAAGAAUAAGCACCGGCUAACUACGUGCCAGCAGCCGCGGUAAUACGUAGGGUGCAAGCGUUAAUCGGAAUUACUGGGCGUAAAGCGUGCGCAGGCGGUUUUGUAAGACAGAGGUGAAAUCCCCGGGCUCAACCUGGGAAUUGCCUUUGUGACUGCAAGGCUGGAGUGCGGCAGAGGGGGAUGGAAUUCCGCGUGUAGCAGUGAAAUGCGUAGAUAUGCGGAGGAACACCGAUGGCGAAGGCAAUCCCCUGGGCCUGCACUGACGCUCAUGCACGAAAGCGUGGGGAGCAAACAGGAUUAGAUACCCGAGUAGUCC
RNAcentral lists this ribosomal RNA (450 nucleotides) under uncultured bacterium. Its description in RNAcentral is "partial 16S ribosomal RNA". It matches the Rfam family "Bacterial small subunit ribosomal RNA", at positions 354 to 796 of the family's 1533-position model. The record is from RNAcentral.